RNAcentral lists this transfer RNA (72 nucleotides) under Heterocephalus glaber (naked mole-rat). It matches the Rfam family "tRNA". Rfam says of the family: Transfer RNA (tRNA) molecules are approximately 80 nucleotides in length. Their secondary structure includes four short double-helical elements and three loops (D, anti-codon, and T loops). The record is from Rfam by way of RNAcentral. Lineage: Eukaryota; Metazoa; Chordata; Mammalia; Rodentia; Bathyergidae.
GGGAGUGUAGCUUAGUGGUAGGGUGUUUGCCUAGCAUGCAAGAGGCCUUAGGUUUGAUCCCCAGCAUUACCU